Molecule: long non-coding RNA, 135 nt
Organism: Nomascus leucogenys (northern white-cheeked gibbon)
Lineage: Eukaryota; Metazoa; Chordata; Mammalia; Primates; Hylobatidae
Exons: 2
Source: RefSeq, a predicted model, not a curated record
GAUAUGGCUCAGGAGAGACAGCUCCAGCCUGCAAUAAAGCCCAAAGGGCAAAAAUUGACAUCUGUAGAAUUUGACCUUGAAAAGUAGUUCAGUGCUGCCUGGGCAAUUUCCUGUCACCAGGAGAAAAUAAGUUUU